RNAcentral lists this ribosomal RNA (492 nucleotides) under uncultured bacterium. RNAcentral's name for it is "partial 16S ribosomal RNA". It matches the Rfam family "Bacterial small subunit ribosomal RNA", at positions 29 to 507 of the family's 1533-position model. The record is from RNAcentral.
AGUGAACGCUGGCGGUAGGCCUAACACAUGCAAGUCGAACGGCAGCACAGUAAGAGCUUGCUCUUACGGGUGGCGAGUGGCGGACGGGUGAGGAAUACAUCGGAAUCUACUUUUUCGUGGGGGAUAACGUAGGGAAACUUACGCUAAUACCGCAUACGACCUACGGGUGAAAGCAGGGGAUCUUCGGACCUUGCGCGAUUGAAUGAGCCGAUGUCGGAUUAGCUAGUUGGCGGGGUAAUGGCCCACCAAGGCGACGAUCCGUAGCUGGUCUGAGAGGAUGAUCAGCCACACUGGAACUGAGACACGGUCAAGAGUCCUACGGGAGGCAGCAGUGGGGAAUAUUGGACAAUGGGCGCAAGCCUGAUCCAGCCAUCCCGCGUGGGUGACGAAGGCCUUCGGGUUGUAAAGACCUUUUGUUGGGAAAGAAAAGCAGCAGGUUAAUACCCCGCUGUUCUGACGGUACCCAAAGAAUAAGCACCGGCUAACUUCGUG